This 521-nucleotide ribosomal RNA is filed under the name uncultured bacterium. RNAcentral's name for it is "bacterial SSU rRNA". It matches the Rfam family "Bacterial small subunit ribosomal RNA", at positions 8 to 518 of the family's 1533-position model. The record is from RNAcentral.
AGGGUUCGAUUCUGGCUCAGGAUGAACGCUAGCGAUAGGCCUAACACAUGCAAGUCGAGGGGCAGCACAUGAGUAGCAAUACGAUGGUGGCGACCGGCGCACGGGUGAGUAACACGUAUGCAACCUACCUCUAACAGGGGGAUAACCCGUUGAAAGACGGACUAAUACCCCAUAAUACAGGGGCUCCGCAUGGAGAUAUUUGUUAAAGAUUUUAUCGGUUAGAGAUGGGCAUGCGUUCCAUUAGCUAGUUGGUGAGGUAACGGCUCACCAAGGCGACGAUGGAUAGGGGAACUGAGAGGUUUAUCCCCCACACUGGAACUGAGACACGGUCCAGACUCCUACGGGAGGCAGCAGUGAGGAAUAUUGGUCAAUGGAGGCAACUCUGAACCAGCCAAGUCCGCGUGAAGGAUGAAGGUCUUAUGGAUUGUAAACUUCUUUUGCAGGGGAAUAAAUAGCGGUACGUGUACCGUUUUGCAUGUACCCUGCGAAUAAGGAUCGGCUAACUCCGUGCCAGCCGCGGC